GGGGGAAAGUAUAAAAAGAUGCAGAGAAGUGCCUGAGCUCAAUACGAGUGUUGAAAAGAAGAAAAAACACAAGGGUAAGUAUGUCAUUUUAAAUAAAAGAUACAAUAGGAGAGUGUAAAUAGCAGGAUUCAUUUAUAUUCUUUAUGUACAAGUGUUUCUUUUUUAACUUAGCAACCUGAUUUACAAACAAUACUUCUUUCUG
RNAcentral lists this long non-coding RNA (202 nucleotides) under Vigna radiata. Its description in RNAcentral is "long non-coding RNA (VRAD_LNC007650)". The record is from RNAcentral. Lineage: Eukaryota; Viridiplantae; Streptophyta; Magnoliopsida; Fabales; Fabaceae.